Molecule: transfer RNA, 70 nt
Filed under: Camelus bactrianus (Bactrian camel)
Lineage: Eukaryota; Metazoa; Chordata; Mammalia; Artiodactyla; Camelidae
Also listed under: 2 other names
Rfam family: tRNA
About the family: Transfer RNA (tRNA) molecules are approximately 80 nucleotides in length. Their secondary structure includes four short double-helical elements and three loops (D, anti-codon, and T loops).
Source: Rfam by way of RNAcentral
GGGUAUGGCUCAGUGGUAGAGUGCAUGCUUAGCAUGCAGGAGGUCCUGGGUUCAAUCCUCAGUACUUCCA